Molecule: ribosomal RNA, 1431 nt
Filed under: uncultured bacterium
Lineage: Bacteria
Description: bacterial SSU rRNA
Rfam family: Bacterial small subunit ribosomal RNA
Source: RNAcentral
CUUGAUGAACGCUAGCCACAGGCUUAACACAUGCAAGUCGAGGGGCAGCAUGGUCUUAGCUUGCUAAGGCCGAUGGCGACCGGCGCACGGGUGAGUAACACGUAUCCAACCUGCCGUCUACUCUUGGACAGCCUUCUGAAAGGAAGAUUAGUACAAGAUGGCAUCAUGAGUCCGCAUGUUCACAUGAUUAAAGGUAUUCCGGUAGACGAUGGGGAUGCGUUCCAUUAGAUAGUAGGCGGGGUAACGGCCCACCUAGUCUUCGAUGGAUAGGGGUUCUGAGAGGAAGGUCCCCCACAUUGGAACUGAGACACGGUCCAAACUCCUACGGGAGGCAGCAGUGAGGAAUAUUGGUCAAUGGGCGAGAGCCUGAACCAGCCAAGUAGCGUGAAGGAUGACUGCCCUAUGGGUUGUAAACUUCUUUUAUAAAGGAAUAAAGUCGGGUAUGGAUACCCGUUUGCAUGUACUUUAUGAAUAAGGAUCGGCUAACUCCGUGCCAGCAGCCGCGGUAAUACGGAGGAUCCGAGCGUUAUCCGGAUUUAUUGGGUUUAAAGGGAGCGUAGAUGGAUGUUUAAGUCAGUUGUGAAAGUUUGCGGCUCAACCGUAAAAUUGCAGUUGAUACUGGAUAUCUUGAGUGCAGUUGAGGCAGGCGGAAUUCGUGGUGUAGCGGUGAAAUGCUUAGAUAUCACGAAGAACUCCGAUUGCGAAGGCAGCCUGCUAAGCUGCAACUGACAUUGAGGCUCGAAAGUGUGGGUAUCAAACAGGAUUAGAUACCCUGGUAGUCCACACGGUAAACGAUGAAUACUCGCUGUUUGCGAUAUACUGCAAGCGGCCAAGCGAAAGCGUUAAGUAUUCCACCUGGGGAGUACGCCGGCAACGGUGAAACUCAAAGGAAUUGACGGGGGCCCGCACAAGCGGAGGAACAUGUGGUUUAAUUCGAUGAUACGCGAGGAACCUUACCCGGGCUUAAAUUGCAGAUGAAUUACGGUGAAAGCCGUAAGCCGCAAGGCAUCUGUGAAGGUGCUGCAUGGUUGUCGUCAGCUCGUGCCGUGAGGUGUCGGCUUAAGUGCCAUAACGAGCGCAACCCUUGUUGUCAGUUACUAACAGGUUCCGCUGAGGACUCUGACAAGACUGCCAUCGUAAGAUGUGAGGAAGGUGGGGAUGACGUCAAAUCAGCACGGCCCUUACGUCCGGGGCUACACACGUGUUACAAUGGGGGGUACAGAGGGCCGCUACCACGCGAGUGGAUGCCAAUCCCCAAAACCUCUCUCAGUUCGGACUGGAGUCUGCAACCCGACUCCACGAAGCUGGAUUCGCUAGUAAUCGCGCAUCAGCCACGGCGCGGUGAAUACGUUCCCGGGCCUUGUACACACCGCCCGUCAAGCCAUGGGAGCCGGGGGUACAAGAAGUGCGUAACCGCGAGGAGCGCCCUAG